GAAAUGCGAUAAGUAAUGUGAAUUGCAGAAUUCAGUGAAUCAUCGAAUCUUUGAACGCACAUUGCGCUCGCCAGUAUUCUGGCGAGCAUGCCUGUUCGAGCGUCAUUUCAACCAUCAAGCUCUGCUUGCGUUGGGGAUCCGCGGCUGCCCGCGGUCCCUCAAAAACAGUGGCGGGCUCGCUAGUCACACCGAGCGUAGUAACUCUACAUCGCUAUGGUCGUGCGGCGGGUUCUUGCCGUAAAACCCCCAAUUUCUAAGGUUGACCUCGGAUCAGCUAGGAAUACCCGCUGAACUUAAGC
This 299-nucleotide unclassified non-coding RNA is filed under the name plant metagenome. Its description in RNAcentral is "partial contains 5.8S ribosomal RNA, internal transcribed spacer 2, and large subunit ribosomal RNA". The stretch from base 1 to 105 matches the Rfam family "5.8S ribosomal RNA", at positions 50 to 154 of the family's 154-position model. The record is from RNAcentral.